UGAACUCAUGGAACCACGGCCAGCGCAUGCUGAAUGUGAAAUUCUCGUGAUUUGCCAUGUUAUUAGGUCUAGGAGACAUUGGGAGUUUCGUUGCUGCGAGAGAUCAGGUUAUACCUUCCUAUAGAAAUCUAGUAGCAACACUGGACACCCGAUAGCCGGGUAAACAAGCAGCCACAUCUCUGAUAUUAACAGAUAUUAUGCAGCUCCAAUUUUUCAACAGAUUACGGCUCUUCACUACCACAAGCAUAACAUUGAUUCUGAGAGGGAGCAGGCAAUGGCAAUGGUGCGGAUAGAUGGUGGAGCAGCUGAUGCGUCAAUUGAAGACCUUUUCUGCCUGUCCCGGACUCUGUCGGAGGAGAUAUUGAUGAGCUUAGUUGGGAAGGCUUAAUCUUUUGUACUUAAGAAUAGUCUUGCUGCCUUUUGUGCACUGCUGAACGGGGGUGGGAUCGUUGUCAUGGCCAUGCCGUGCUGUCGGUAGUGUAGGCGCUUCACCUGUACCUGUCUGUUCUAUUGUUGAACUUUGUAAAUUCGUUGCUCAAGAGUGAUGAAUUCCGGGCAUGGC
This 562-nucleotide long non-coding RNA is filed under the name Setaria italica (foxtail millet). Its description in RNAcentral is "long non-coding RNA (SITA_LNC002585)". The record is from RNAcentral. Lineage: Eukaryota; Viridiplantae; Streptophyta; Magnoliopsida; Poales; Poaceae.